GAUGAACGCUGGCGGUAUGCCUAACACAUGCAAGUCGUACGAGUAGUUUUUUAACUCUAGUGGCGGACGGGUGAGUAACACGUGAGAAUUUGCCUUUUAGGAGGGGGGAUUAACAAUUGGAAACGAAUGCUAAUACCCCAUAUGCUUUUUGAGUGAAAUGGAUUUUUAUCCGCCUAGAGAGAAGCUCGCGGCUGAUUAGCUUGUUGGUAAGGUAAGAGCUUACCAAGGCGACGAUCAGUAUCUGGUUUGAGAGGACGAUCAGACACACUGGAACUGAGACACGGUCCAGACUCCUACGGGAGGCAGCAGUGGGGAAUUUUCCGCAAUGGGCGAAAGCCUGACGGAGCAAUACCGCGUGAGGGAAGAAUGCCUAUGGGUUGUAAACCUCUUUUUCAGGGAGGAAUAAAAUGACGUGUACCUGAAGAAUAAGCAUCGGCUAACUCCGUG
Molecule: ribosomal RNA, 447 nt
Filed under: uncultured bacterium
Lineage: Bacteria
Description: bacterial SSU rRNA
Rfam family: Bacterial small subunit ribosomal RNA
Source: RNAcentral